RNAcentral lists this ribosomal RNA (238 nucleotides) under uncultured bacterium. Its description in RNAcentral is "partial 16S ribosomal RNA". It matches the Rfam family "Bacterial small subunit ribosomal RNA", at positions 116 to 354 of the family's 1533-position model. The record is from RNAcentral.
CGUGAGUAACCUGCCCUGGAGUGGGGAAUAACAGCUGGAAACAGCUGCUAAUACCGCAUAAUGCAGUUGGGCCGCAUGGCUCUGACUGCCAAAGAUUUAUCGCUCUGGGAUGGACUCGCGUCUGAUUAGCUAGUUGGUGGGGCAACGGCCCACCAAGGCGACGAUCAGUAGCCGGACUGAGAGGUUGGCCGGCCACAUUGGGACUGAGACACGGCCAGACUCCUACGGAAGGCAGCAG